RNAcentral lists this small nucleolar RNA (134 nucleotides) under Drosophila ficusphila. RNAcentral describes it as "small nucleolar RNA psi28S-3316". It matches the Rfam family "Small nucleolar RNA psi28S-3316". From Rfam's summary of the family: psi28S-3316 is a member of the H/ACA class of snoRNA. This family is responsible for guiding the modification of uridine 3316 in Drosophila 28S rRNA to pseudouridine. Lineage: Eukaryota; Metazoa; Arthropoda; Insecta; Diptera; Drosophilidae. The record is from RNAcentral.
UGCACCUAAAAGCGUUUUCUUGCCAGCCCGUUAAAUGCUCUCGAAAAUCGUAGAUGUGUGCCAGAGCAGCCGUCACAGUUGCAUGUGACCUGGAUCCACAAAUGAAUCAGGUCCAAUUUAAGCUGGGCUCACUU